GAGAUUGUAGAACGCAAACACCAACAUAUAUUGAAUGUAGCUCGAGCAUUAAGAUUUCAAUCCGACAAUCCCAUUUCUUAUUGGAAUGAAUGUGUUCUGACUGCCACCUAUUUAAUAAAUUGAACCCCCUCCCCCAACCUUCAAAAUCAAUCACCAUAUCAACUACUUUAUCAGACCAUACCAACCUACAAUCACUUAAGAAUUUUUGGAUGCCUAUGCUAUGCCUCUACAUUGACACAUAAUCGUCAAAAAUUUGAUUAUCGUGCUAGAAAAUGCAUUCUCCUAGGAUAUCCCUUUGGGGUGAAAAGAUAUAAAUUAUUGGACUUAGACAAUAAAUCUGUCUUCAUCUCCCGUGAUGUCAUAUUUUAUGAACAAACCUUUCCUUUUAAGGCAAAUAUUACCAAUUCCACUUCCACUCUUCCCUCUUCCACUCCUAUUCCACCACUCGACUUAGACAUUACAUCUCCACCAGAUUAUGAAUCAUCAUCUCACUCACCAACGCCUCCAUCACCUUCACCCUCCUCCUCACCAACCAUUACUUCAACAACUCAUCAUCUAGCUCCUUGAAAAUCUGAUCGACCUAAGAAACCUCCAGUUUAUCUGCAGGAUCACUACUGUCAACAAGCUGCUGGGCCUCCUCCUUCACUGUCCAGCUCCAAAGGAAAAUUCAAUUCAUGGCAGCCCCUCGGCUCCCUCACCUUCAAGCAGCAUAUAAGGUGUUGAAAUAUGUCGAAAACUCUCCAGGUCAAGAAGAUCCACCACUGGUUAUUGUGUGCUUCUUGGUCAAUCUCUCAUCUCAUGGAAAUUCAAGAAGCAAACAACCAUUUCCAGAAGCUCUGCUGAAGCUGAAUACCGAUCAAUGGCAGCUGCCUCUUGUGAAAUUGUAUGGUUAAAGUAUCUCCUUGCUGAUCUCAAAGUUCCACACUUAAAGCCUGCUACCUUGUACUGCGACAAGCAAGCUGCCUCGCACAUUGCAGCCAACCCCAUUUUCCACGAACGCACUAAACAUAUUGAAUUAGAUUGUCAUCUAUUCGUGACAAAAUACAAGAAUGAACAAUCUCUACUGCAUAUGCUCCAUCCAGCUCCCAGUUGGCUGACCUACUUACCAAAGCUCUUCCAUCUCCAUUAUUGUCUUCUCUUUUGCUCAA
Long non-coding RNA from Juglans microcarpa x Juglans regia, 1148 nucleotides. RefSeq lists it as uncharacterized. The transcript is spliced from 3 exons. Lineage: Eukaryota; Viridiplantae; Streptophyta; Magnoliopsida; Fagales; Juglandaceae. The record is from RefSeq and is a predicted model, not a curated record.